RNAcentral lists this long non-coding RNA (550 nucleotides) under Prunus persica (peach). Its description in RNAcentral is "long non-coding RNA (PPER_LNC007416)". The record is from RNAcentral. Lineage: Eukaryota; Viridiplantae; Streptophyta; Magnoliopsida; Rosales; Rosaceae.
CAGACAAUCAUUGAGAAACUACAGGUGUCAGAUUUGAGUGUGGUGGAGCCAAUUAAGAUUGAUAUUUUCUUUGGCCACAUUUAUGCUUACGUUGUUCAGGUGAGAUGAGAAAGAUUCCCAUAAAUAUUUUGUCUCUUCAUCACAGAUCACUUCCUUUAACUGCUCAAGAUCCAAAACAGAUAGAGGUAGCUCUUCCAACCUUAAGCACUGUCUCAUGUUGAUCUUUCUUAAAUUGCUUAUGUCACCAAUGUCUUCAGGCAACUCCCUAAUGCUGAAGCAAUCAGAUAUGUCAAGAAAGUCUAACUUUUUGAGGCUCUUCAUCGAGCCUGGAAGUUUUACUAGGUCUGUACAGGAUUUUAGCCUCAACACUUCUAACUUGGUCAACUUUCCAAUCUCUUCAGGCAAGGCAGAUAGCUUAUGACAAUUGGUGACACUGAGCUUCUUUAGUUGACUAAGACCACAGAGCUCGGCAGGCAAUUCCACCAAAUCAUGGCAAUAGUCAAUGUUCAUUUCCUCUAUAUUCGGGAAUGCUGAUGAGAUUGGGAUGGAG